This is a long non-coding RNA of Strigops habroptila (Kakapo), 641 nucleotides long. RefSeq lists it as uncharacterized. NCBI's taxonomy places the organism in Eukaryota, Metazoa, Chordata, Aves, Psittaciformes, Psittacidae. The record is from RefSeq and is a predicted model, not a curated record. The transcript is spliced from 2 exons.
GCAGCUGCUGCACCACUGUGGACUCUGGCUGGCUCGUUGGUGCUGUGCCAGCCCCACGGUCAGGUGCAGGCCUCCUGGUAGCAGGGCAGCGCCUGUACCCGUCUCCAGCUUGGCUGUCUGCUGCCACUGCGGGAAGAGGCAAGGUGGGAUGGAGACCUCGUCCUCGCCUGCUGCAGUGCCGAGGCUGCUGACUGCCUCAUGCCGCCGUUUCUUCGUGAAGGAGUCGGCGGUGAGCAGGCUGGGCUCCUUCUCCGCGCUGCAGAGACAAAGGUGGUGCGAGGGGUGGUCAUGGACCAGCACUGCUCCGGGGGGAGGCUGGGUGCCGAGGGGCUGGGCUGGGGAUGAGCAGUCCAGAGCAGGGGAGCUGGCUGCCAAAAUCACCCCUGAGCCAGCGCUGAGGCCAGAGUCGCCUCGUGGAGCCCCCCGAGGCUGCUGCUGGCCUGGCUGCGGCGCAGGAGCCGGGCAGCGAUGGGCACUGCUCACCUGCACGUGCCCAAAGGCAGGAGAGCUGAGUCGGGGCAGCCGGUGUUUGGUGGGAAGUUGCUGCCAGCAACUCGCACGCGAGCCUGCGCGUGGUGGGCACUUCUGUGCAGCUUCCAGCCCUGCGGGUAUUGACACAAAUAAAGACUUGGUGAGCUGCA